This 72-nucleotide transfer RNA is filed under the name Camelus ferus (Wild Bactrian camel). It matches the Rfam family "tRNA". From Rfam's summary of the family: Transfer RNA (tRNA) molecules are approximately 80 nucleotides in length. Their secondary structure includes four short double-helical elements and three loops (D, anti-codon, and T loops). Lineage: Eukaryota; Metazoa; Chordata; Mammalia; Artiodactyla; Camelidae. The record is from Rfam by way of RNAcentral.
GCAGGUAUAGCUCAGUGAUACAGCGCAUGCUUAGCAUGCAUGAGGUCCUGGGUUCAAUCCCCAGUACCUCCA